Molecule: long non-coding RNA, 241 nt
Organism: Paramormyrops kingsleyae
Lineage: Eukaryota; Metazoa; Chordata; Actinopteri; Osteoglossiformes; Mormyridae
Source: RefSeq, a predicted model, not a curated record
CCUCUGACUUCUUCUUCUCCUCCUCUUCUCGAGCCUUGCCCAGCUCCUCGAAGUUCACCUUGAUCUUACCUGGAGCCUUGGAGGGUUUGUUUGGCACCACCUUGACGAGCAGGGAGCUGUCCCCCUCCUGCAUGACGAAGGGAAGAUGGCCGACUUCAUCACAACAUAACCAGAAACAAACAGAAGUGCUCAUCGUCACGUUUCUCUUUGUGGUGCAUUAAUAAAGGUCAGCAGCCAUGUU